ACGUAGGGUGCGAGCGUUAAUCGGAAUUACUGGGCGUAAAGCGUGCGCAGGCGGUUCACUAAGACAGGUGUGAAAUCCCCGGGCUUAACCUGGGAAUUGCGUUUGUGACUGGCGAACUAGAGUACGGUAGAGGGGGGUGGAAUUUCAGGUGUAGCGGUGAAAUGCGUAGAGAUGUGGAGGAACACCGAUGGCGAAGGCAGCCCCCUGGACCGAUACUGACGCUCA
RNAcentral lists this ribosomal RNA (225 nucleotides) under uncultured prokaryote. RNAcentral's name for it is "partial 16S ribosomal RNA". It matches the Rfam family "Bacterial small subunit ribosomal RNA", at positions 525 to 749 of the family's 1533-position model. The record is from RNAcentral.